RNAcentral lists this ribosomal RNA (274 nucleotides) under uncultured bacterium. RNAcentral describes it as "partial 16S ribosomal RNA". It matches the Rfam family "Bacterial small subunit ribosomal RNA", at positions 523 to 796 of the family's 1533-position model. The record is from RNAcentral.
AUACGGAGGGUGCAAGCGUUACUCGGAAUCACUGGGCGUAAAGCGCGCGCAGGCGGCCCGAUCAGUUGGAUGUGAAAGCCUACGGCUCAACCGUAGAACUGCAUCCAAAACUGUCGGGGUAGAGUCUGGGAGGGGAAGAUGGAAUUAGUUGUGUAGGGGUAAAAUCCGUAGAGAUAACUAGGAAUACCAAAAGCGAAGGCGAUCUUCUGGAACAGUACUGACGCUGAGGCGCGAUAGCGUGGGGAGCAACCAGGAUUAGAAACCCUAGUAGUCC